RNAcentral lists this ribosomal RNA (383 nucleotides) under bacterium enrichment culture DGGE band DS50. RNAcentral's name for it is "bacterial SSU rRNA". It matches the Rfam family "Bacterial small subunit ribosomal RNA", at positions 504 to 884 of the family's 1533-position model. The record is from RNAcentral.
UGUGUCAGCCGCCGCGGUAAUACGUAGGGUGCGAGCGUUAAUCGGAAUUACUGGGCGUAAAGCGAGCGCAGGCGGUUUUGUAAGUCAGAUGUGAAAGCCCCGGGCUCAACCUGGGAACUGCGUUUGAAACUGCAAGGCUAGAGUAUGGGAGAGGGGGGUAGAAUUCCACGUGUAGCAGUGAAAUGCGUAGAGAUGUGGAGGAAUACCAAUGGCGAAGGCAGCCCCCUGGCCUAAUACUGACGCUCAUGCUCGAAAGCGUGGGGAGCAAACAGGAUUAGAUAGCCCUGGUAGUCCACGCCCUAAACGAUGUCUACUAGUUGUUGGUGGAGUAAAAUCCAUUAGUAACGCAGCUAACGCGUGAAGUAGACCGCCUGGGGAGUACG